Molecule: ribosomal RNA, 448 nt
Filed under: uncultured bacterium
Lineage: Bacteria
Description: bacterial SSU rRNA
Rfam family: Bacterial small subunit ribosomal RNA
Source: RNAcentral
AUGAACGCUGGCGGCGUGUCUAAGGCAUGCAAGUCGAGUGGGUUUAGACCCACGGCAAACGGGAGAGUAACACAUUGGUAAUUUACCCUGAGGACGAGCAUAACUCCGAGAAAUCGGAGAUAAUACUCGAUAAUAGCGGGGGGACAAAAGUCAUUCCCACUUAAAGUUCCGGCGCCUCAGGAAAAGCCUAUGUUCUAUCAGCUAGUUGGUGAGGGUAACGGCCCACCAAGGCUAUGACGGAUAGCGGGUGUGAGAGCAUGACCCGUCUCACUGGGACUGAGAUACUGCCCAGACUCCUACGGGAGGCUGCAGUCAAGAAUAUUCCUCAAUGGCCGCAAGGCUGAAGGAGCGACGUCGCGUGUAUGAAGAAGCCCCUCGGGGUGUAAAGUACUUUUCUCUGGGAAGAAACCAUGACGGUACCAGAGGAAUAAGGAGCUGCUAACCUCGU